UACGUAGGGUGCAAGCGUUGUCCGGAAUUAUUGGGCGUAAAGAGCUUGUAGGCGGUUUGUCGCGUCUGUUGUGAAAUUUCGGGGCUCAACCCCGAACUUGCAGUGGGUACGGGCAGACUAGAGUGUGGUAGGGGAGACUGGAAUUCCUGGUGUAGCGGUGAAAUGCGCAGAUAUCAGGAGGAACACCGAUGGCGAAGGCAGGUCUCUGGGCCAUAACUGACGCUGAGAAGCGAAAGCAUGGGGAGCGAACAGG
Molecule: ribosomal RNA, 253 nt
Filed under: uncultured bacterium
Lineage: Bacteria
Description: partial 16S ribosomal RNA
Rfam family: Bacterial small subunit ribosomal RNA
Source: RNAcentral